RNAcentral lists this ribosomal RNA (484 nucleotides) under uncultured bacterium. Its description in RNAcentral is "partial 16S ribosomal RNA". It matches the Rfam family "Bacterial small subunit ribosomal RNA", at positions 30 to 507 of the family's 1533-position model. The record is from RNAcentral.
AUUGAACGCUGGCGGCAGGCCUAACACAUGCAAGUCGAGCGGAUGAAGGGAGCUUGCUCCUGGAUUCAGCGGCGGACGGGUGAGUAAUGCCUAGGAAUCUGCCUGGUAGUGGGGGAUAACGUCCGGAAACGGGCGCUAAUACCGCAUACGUCCUGAGGGAGAAAGUGGGGGAUCUUCGGACCUCACGCUAUCAGAUGAGCCUAGGUCGGAUUAGCUAGUUGGUGGGGUAAAGGCUUACCAAGGCGACGAUCCGUAACUGGUCUGAGAGGAUGAUCAGUCACACUGGAACUGAGACACGGUCCAGACUCCUACGGGAGGCAGCAGUGGGGAAUAUUGGACAAUGGGCGAAAGCCUGAUCCAGCCAUGCCGCGUGUGUGAAGAAGGUCUUCGGAUUGUAAAGCACUUUAAGUUGGGAGGAAGGGCAGUAAGUUAAUACAUUGCUGUUUUGACGUUACCAACAGAAUAAGCACCGGCUAACUUCGUG